This 687-nucleotide ribosomal RNA is filed under the name Triticum aestivum (bread wheat). RNAcentral describes it as "partial small subunit ribosomal RNA". The record is from RNAcentral. Lineage: Eukaryota; Viridiplantae; Streptophyta; Magnoliopsida; Poales; Poaceae.
AUGAGGAACUUGCAUACACUCGCGAAGAAGAAGCAUGUCAUUGUCAUCGAGGGUGUAAAAUUCCUCAAAGAUCAUCUUUGUGGGGCUUGUGAGGCUGGAAAGAUCACCAGAUCCAAGCAUCCCUCGAAGACUAUCAUGACCACUUCUCGUCCCUUUGAAUUACUUCAUAUGGAUCUCUUUGGCCCUACUCAUUAUGCCACAUUCGCUAGCUCUGCAUCUUUAUAUGGCUUUGUCAUAGUUGAUGACUAUUCUCGUUACACAUGGGUGCAUAUCAUCACUUACAAAAAUGAAGUGCAGGAAGUCUUCAGACGAUUUUCCUCAAGGGCUUCCACUAACUUCGGUGUGAAGAUCAAGCAUAUCAGGAGUGAUAAUGGAACUGAGUUCAAGAACACUGGACUUUAUGAAUAUAUUGAUAUACUUGGUAUUACUCACAAGUUAUCUGCUCCUUAUACUCCUCAGCAAAAUGGCAUCGUGGAGCGCAAGAACCGAACUCUUGUUGAGAUGGCUCGCAGUAUGCUUGAUGAAUACAAGACGCCUCGGUGUUUCUGGCCUGAAGCCAUCAAUACUGCGUGCCACAUCAUCAACAGGGUAUAUCUUCACAAAUUCUUCAAAAAGACCUCAUAUGAACUCCUCACUGACAAGAAACCCAAUGUAAGUUAUUUCAAAGUCUUCGGUGCUAAAUGCUAG